AAUAAACGGGGGAGGGGGAAAGAGGGAGGGAAGGAGAGGAACACCCUCCUCCUCUUCCAGAAACUGCACCUCAGCCUGAAAUUUGGCGCCCGGGCUGCGCCGACCGCCGGCCCCGAGCCGCCGCGGGCUCCGAGGAGUCGGCCGAGCUGCUCCCGCGCCCUGGCCGGACGUUUGAAACUAUUGCUUUGCUGAAAACAUCUGACUGCCAGGCUAGGAUGUGACACUUAAGGGACCAGGGAUCAUUUACAUACUGUGGUCUUGCAUUACUGCGAUGAAAUCUUCCACCACUCCCACCACCCACUACAAGAGAUGGAAUUAAUUGAAACUACAGCCUUCAAGAGACAUUUGGAGCAAUACUCUUCCAGUUCUUUCUUCCACAUUUUAUUUGUGGGUACAGCGUCUCCCAGGAUGUAGUGUGCUGUAAUUAUUCUUCCACCCUUUUAUUUUCUGGGAGUUUCUCUAUCUGAAUAGCACAGAAAUAUUAGUGGAUAGGAAGGGAAUAUAAUAUUCUAUCCAUCUGAAAAUUAACACCCAUGUUGAACAGAAUCCCUUUUCAGUUUCCUGUUUACUACAGGGUCCAAAUCUCUGAGCUGAGCUGUGCAGCAGAUAAUAGGAGAAGAAAAAAAGAUACCUGCUCCUCUUUCAAGGACG
RNAcentral lists this long non-coding RNA (651 nucleotides) under Homo sapiens (human). RNAcentral's name for it is "non-protein coding LINC01122:2". Lineage: Eukaryota; Metazoa; Chordata; Mammalia; Primates; Hominidae. The record is from RNAcentral.